Molecule: ribosomal RNA, 255 nt
Filed under: uncultured bacterium
Lineage: Bacteria
Description: partial 16S ribosomal RNA
Rfam family: Bacterial small subunit ribosomal RNA
Source: RNAcentral
UACGGGGGGGAGCAAGCGUUGUUCGGAUUUACUGGGCGUAAAGGGCGCGUAGGCGGUCAGCACAAGUCAGUUGUGAAAUCUCCGGGCUUAACUCGGAAAGGUCAACUGAUACUGUGCGACUAGAGUGCAGAAGGGGCAACUGGAAUUCUCGGUGUAGCGGUGAAAUGCGCAGAUAUCAGGAGGAACACCGAUGGCGAAGGCAGGUCUCUGGGCAUUAACUGACGCUGAGGAGCGAAAGCAUGGGGAGCGAACAGG